GAAAUGCGAUAAGUAAUGUGAAUUGCAGAAUUCAGUGAAUCAUCGAAUCUUUGAACGCACAUUGCGCUCGCCAGUAUUCUGGCGAGCAUGCCUGUUCGAGCGUCAUUUCAACCAUCAAGCUCUGCUUGCGUUGGGGAUCCGCGGCUGCCCGCGGUCCCUCAAAAACAGUGGCGGGCUCGCUAGUCACACCGAUCGUAGUAACUCUACAUCGCUAUGGUCGUGCGGCGGGUUCUUGCCGUAAAACCCCCAAUUUCUAAGGUUGACCUCGGAUCAGGUAGGAAUACCCGCUGAACUUAAGC
RNAcentral lists this unclassified non-coding RNA (299 nucleotides) under plant metagenome. RNAcentral's name for it is "partial contains 5.8S ribosomal RNA, internal transcribed spacer 2, and large subunit ribosomal RNA". The stretch from base 1 to 105 matches the Rfam family "5.8S ribosomal RNA", at positions 50 to 154 of the family's 154-position model. The record is from RNAcentral.